UACGUAGGGCGCAAGCGUUGUCCGGAAUUAUUGGGCGUAAAGAGCUCGUAGGCGGUCUGUUACGUCCGCUGUGAAAACCCAGGGCUUAACCCUGGGCUUGCAGUGGAUACGGGCAGACUAGAGUGAUGUAGGGGAGACUGGAAUUCCUGGUGUAGCGGUGAAAUGCGCAGAUAUCAGGAGGAACACCGAUGGCGAAGGCAGGUCUCUGGGCAUUAACUGACGCUGAGGAGCGAAAGCAUGGGGAGCGAACAGG
This 253-nucleotide ribosomal RNA is filed under the name uncultured bacterium. Its description in RNAcentral is "partial 16S ribosomal RNA". It matches the Rfam family "Bacterial small subunit ribosomal RNA", at positions 524 to 776 of the family's 1533-position model. The record is from RNAcentral.